Long non-coding RNA from Rhodamnia argentea, 205 nucleotides. RefSeq lists it as uncharacterized. The record is from RefSeq and is a predicted model, not a curated record. The transcript is spliced from 2 exons. NCBI's taxonomy places the organism in Eukaryota, Viridiplantae, Streptophyta, Magnoliopsida, Myrtales, Myrtaceae.
AACUUAUGUUCCCGAUGCAUGAAAUAUAUCACUAGCAAUGUUCUACGAGAUCCUUUUACGUGACAAGUAGUUAGGGGAGUUCAGCAUAAACAAAUCAACCAACUAAUAACACGAAAAAAAUCACGUUUUAAGGGAUUGACUAGUUUAACUUGUUUGGAUACGAAUUGAGCCAUUUAAUCUAACCUGUUGCUUUUGAAGGACAACU